UGCCGGAAACUCUGAAAAAUCCCAAC
Molecule: non-coding RNA, 26 nt
Filed under: Homo sapiens (human)
Lineage: Eukaryota; Metazoa; Chordata; Mammalia; Primates; Hominidae
Source: RNAcentral